CUUGGUUCUCAAUUGCAGAAAAAAUGAGGACUGUUUAUUGUAGUACAUUCAUCCAUUGGUUGUGAAAGAUUUUGAGUGCUGUGAAUUUACUCCACCUUGAUUCCUUACAUUUUCAUAACCGACCCUACUUUGAAUGCUUGUUUUGAUUGGCACUUUGGGACUAAAAAUGACUGAAGUGGAAACUUCUGUUGGGUGGCACGCUUUGUUGUUGGUAGUUAUAGUUUGUCUUCUCCGACAACACGAACUUGUGCUCUUUCCCUUUCAUCCUUCAUUCCUUCUCAUCCCAAGUUACAGGUGUAAGAGUGGGACGCGAGGAAGUAGGAGAUCUGAUGCCAGUAUACUUCAUUGCAUUUUCUCAAUAGUUACUCGCUUACUCUUUGCCCCAUUAUAUAUGCUCUAAGUGGCUCUCCCAUUUGUGGAGAAUAUGAUUGUUCAACCCAGUAUAGUGAAAGUCACUAGCUUUCUCUGAUGUGGUAUUUGCCAGCUGUAUGAACAAAUUAUUAGUUGACACUUUCCGGAAAGUUUACGCUGUUGCAGUAGAUAGUUGAUACUAUACUAGUACGUGCGUUUUUAUGUGUUUUCAGGUUCGAAAAUCCGAUGCAAAUAUGUAUUGCUUAUGGUGCAAUUCACACAGUGUGAUUGCACCGAGCCGCUGAGGUCACAACAGCACAAAGUGUGACUGUUACAGUAAUGCUCAGUGCAUAAAUCAGAGAUCAAUUCAUGUGAAGGCAAUUAGUUUAUGCAUGAUGUUGAAAGGUUUAGAAAAGAUUUGGAUAUGUUUGCCAAAUUUGUGCUAAAUAGUGACCAUUGUGAUUUCUUAUUUACACUGCCAGGCUUAAUCAUAAGGUGUUUGAGUCUAUGACCCAUCAGCCAAGGACCCAGAUGCUUGUUGCAUACAUGAAAACCAAAAGGUUCACAGAAGAAAGAUUGGCGUGUAAAAACUUGCAGUUUGCCAUACAUGUAAUUUUAAUUGUGGCAUGGUAUCUUUAUUAUGGGAGUAAUGAAUGAAUCUUGUUCAUACGAUUGGAAGGAAAGGGUUUUCCAAAUUCAAAAACUAGCUAGGGGAGUUCCUAUUAGAUCUUGAAGAAAACCGUAGACUGUAAAUAGAAGAAUUUAAGUUUGGCAAAUAGUAAUCGGGAAUAUAGUCUAAACAGUAUCUGACUUUUUGGAGAAUAUAAAAACAGUAUUUCACGUUCUUAUUGCAACCGAAGAUCGGUACCUAAAACUGUUGGCUCUGUUUAAAAAACUGAUGGUAAACAUAUUUUUAGUGAGAACAUGCACCUUAAGUCAAAUGCCAAAUACAAUGUAAUCACCAAACUUCAUGUUACAGUUUCUUCUCAUACCUUAUCAAAAGACCUAUUUGAAAUGCCAAGUUCCUUUUUUCUUCUUCUUCUUCUUCUUCUGCAUUAGACGUAUGUUUUUCCUACAAAGUAGGCUUUACAUAAACAAGUAGCCAAGCAGGCAAAUGGACGAGGAAGAUUAAGACUCACCAACCCAUUAUAUUUCUCUUUCUCUUUGGCCAGGCGACGAUUCUGAUUUCUGCAAUACAUAGAAGAAACACCACCCACCACCCGCCCCCGCCCCCCCCCCCCCCCCCGAAUACGCUUGUUUCAAUUCUGGCAUAUGAUAAACACAAAACAUGUCAAAGACACUCUAUCGAAAAACAUUUCAGACACAAAAUAAUCAGCUGCCUUUUAAUAAACUUCUCAAGUGUUAACAUUUCUCGUGGUUGGUUACAGCCAACCUAAAUGUGCCAAAAUUUCAAGUCCAAUUAGCUAUGAAAUUGUAAGUGCUCUUACUCUAAUCUAAUCAAAGAGCAUAGAUCUUUAUUUGAUUUUUAGGAAGUUCGAAUUCCAUAAGAAUUCCUCAGUGCGUUACAACCAAACAAGAUGAUGGCUUUGGUACUUUGGUCAUUUGGUGGUUUUGGAUUAGUCCACUUGUUUAUAGCCCCUUAGUUAUUAGCUAGACUUCGGUAAUUGACUUCAAAAUUAAACCAACUAAUAAACUUCGAUCACUACAUGCUGUCAGAUUGAUUAGCAACUAAUAGCGGAUG
Molecule: long non-coding RNA, 2053 nt
Filed under: Fragaria vesca (wild strawberry)
Lineage: Eukaryota; Viridiplantae; Streptophyta; Magnoliopsida; Rosales; Rosaceae
Description: long non-coding RNA (FVES_LNC002564)
Source: RNAcentral